CCAGAGACACUUUCGGUCUACUUUUUCUUCUCUUGUCGCCUUAUCGUCCUUCCGAGCUUCAGAUGACGUCAGGCUACUGUAGCUACGCCAGUGCUUCAGGCAGCGGUCAUGAACGUGUCACGCGCAUUCUCGUCGUUGGCGAGGCAAGCGUCGGCAAGACGCUGCUCAUCCGGCGCCUGUGCGACCACAUUUUCGGCGACACUUCCAUUACGAGCACCGAUGAAGUGUCAGCCCCCGAGAGCCCAUAUCAAUCACAGAGUGCAGUGGCCGAUGACGACCUCGGCCCCAAGUGGGGGCCGACGGUGGGGAUUGCUGUGGAUGCUCUGAAGCGUACCACGACGGUGCUUGACGAUACCGUCACCAUCCCGAAUGUAGCCAUGUCUACACCGUACGAUACAGCCGCUAUGACGAGGUACACGGCGCCGCCGUCCAACUUACACUCUGGCGAGAACGGCAACUACCCAAGCUGCUCUGUCUACGGCACCCCCUGCUCGACCAGCGGCUACGGAGGAUCAAACAGCGUGCUCCAGUAUCGGGGGCAGGGCUUCGUCGGCUCGAACACCUCCUUUGCCGUGCCGCAUCUGGUGGCCAGCGCCUCGCCUCCGCGUCGGCAAACCGUGCUGCAGACCGUCGAGUUUCAUGAACUAGGCGGCACCCACGGCUAUCGCGAUGUCGCUCGGAUGCUUCUGCGCAACAUCCAUUAUGAUGGGGUCAUGUUUGUGUACCAUCGCCGCAGUCUUACCAGCACGCUGUACCUCAAAGAGUGGUACCGCUGGAUACGCAGCGUCCUCUCCGCCAGCCCGGACAUAGGCAGCGAUUACGGCGCCGAGGCCAACAAGCCGGCGAAGUCCUCGAAAACGAUGCCGCGGUUUAUGUUAGUGGGCACCCAACUACCCGGUGACGAGCUUCCCGCUGCCGUGGCUGGGCUCGCGAAGACCACCGCGGAGACACUACACAUGGCCUGCGGCGCCAUCUCUGACGAGACCCUGUUGGAUGGCAACUUGGAGGUGAAGUUGCGCGCUCUGCAGUCCCCGCAAACACUGACACAGCGCCGUGGCGUGCGGCAUGCACUGGGCAAGGUGCUCCGUAGACUAGCGUGGCCGUACCACGUGUGGUGGUGCGUGUCGCACCCGUUUUUCCUCCUGUCGAAGCAGUAUCAGGAAGAGCUCGGGCCGCGCAGCCGGCUCGGCGCGUGUGGCUCACGCGUCGUUGAGCGAUUUGUGUGGCUGCUUUACCAGGCCGAGCAGGCACUAAUGUACGUGAUGGCGGUCAUUUUGUUCGGCCCCUACCAGGAAGCUGUGGUUCUUGGUCAUUCACGCUUGAAGCAGACUCUGGAGGAGAUGCUGAAGGAUGAGCUGUGUGUAUCGCAGGCGCACGUGUGUCGCCUGGACAGCAACAUGUCCCUGCAGUCUUCUUUGGACGAUGUGGUUGCCUUCUUUGACAUUCUCCUCCGCCAAGAUGCACCGGACGAGGGACGCUGAGACGCAGGAAAAUGAUCAUUGUUGUUUUUAUUCUCGUCCGCUGUGGACGUUUCGAGGGGAGGGGUGCCACCCAUCCUUGCUCUAACUUGUCUCUCUCCUCACUUCUCUCUCAUUGUGCAUCCUAGGUGUUUAUAUGCUCGCUGUCGAUCCUUUCCGCUUUUCUUUGCUAUCUUCUUGGCCACUCUCUUGACCCCCCCUCCACCACCACCACCACUCGCUACUUGCUUCUCCCUCCUCCCACCCUCUCAGUUCCUCUUCUGUGGCGCUGACAGAUACGUUCAUGCGCGUCUGUGUGAGUGCGCAGUUGUGCGCGUAUUUCCGGGCGCAUCAUUUCACACUGCGCUUUCUUUUCAUUUCGGCUUAUCUUAUUUUCUUUUAUGUUCGUUCUCUCCAUCCGAAUCCCCCACACAUAGGCACGCGCUCCUUCUGCCGCUGUGCGCGUCUUGGCCCGUGCCUCAGAAUGUGAGCCUGAGCGUGUGUGUCUUUGCGUUUGUGUGUCUGUCUGUCUCUGUGUGUGUGUGUGUAUGUGUGAAGUGGGGGGGGGAGGUGGCUGUGUAUAUCCCGGUCGGCAAAUCCGCUUCAUAACUUCCGCGUCGCUGCCUUCGUGCUCUUGCGCGAUUUAUGUUUUUUUAUGUUGCAGUUGUUUUGUUCCAAGUCGCUUUUUCUGCUCCCCCUCUCCCUGAGUGCCCAGGCAUCAAGCUAAGGGAAGGGGAGGGGCCGGUGUACGAUGAGGCGAGAAAGACAAGGACAUAGUGCGUCCGCUGCCACAGCGGCGAUUUUGCAGCAUAUGAACUAGAACUGCAUGAAGACAAACUUUUAAGAGAGGCAUGUCGAGUUCGGUGAUUGCGAUCCAUGACCCCUUUCUCAGAAAUGGGAAAAGACGCAACGGCGUUGUCCCCUCCACCCCACCGCCCCUUCCUCUCUCACACAGACAUCCACAGGAGAGUUUCCCUAGGCGUCAAAUGGCUCUUUUCUUUUCGCGUGUGCAUGUGUGUGUGUGUGUGUGUGUAGGUCUGUGGCACGGCUGCUCUGACGUGU
This 2519-nucleotide unclassified non-coding RNA is filed under the name Leishmania donovani. RNAcentral's name for it is "gene:LdHU3.36.6780(CDS-product:hypothetical_prote in_conserved)". Lineage: Eukaryota; Euglenozoa; Kinetoplastea; Trypanosomatida; Trypanosomatidae. The record is from RNAcentral.